UACGGAGGAUGCAAGCGUUAUCCGGAAUGGUUGGGCGUAAAGGGUCCGCAGGUGGCAGUGUAAGUCUGCUGUCAAAGAAUGAGGCUUAACCUUAUCAAGGCAGUGGAAACUACACAGCUAGAGUACGGUCGGGGUAGAAGGAAUUCCUGGUGUAGCGGUGAAAUGCGUAGAGAUCAGGAAGAACACCGGUGGCGAAAGCGUUCUGCUAGACCUGUACUGACACUGAGGGACGAAAGCUAGGGGAGCGAAUGGG
This 253-nucleotide ribosomal RNA is filed under the name uncultured bacterium. RNAcentral describes it as "partial 16S ribosomal RNA". It matches the Rfam family "Bacterial small subunit ribosomal RNA", at positions 524 to 776 of the family's 1533-position model. The record is from RNAcentral.